This 752-nucleotide ribosomal RNA is filed under the name uncultured bacterium. RNAcentral describes it as "bacterial SSU rRNA". It matches the Rfam family "Bacterial small subunit ribosomal RNA", at positions 8 to 796 of the family's 1533-position model. The record is from RNAcentral.
AGAGUUUGAUCAUGGCUCAGAACGAACGCUGGCGGCAUGCCUAACACAUGCAAGUCGAACGUGAUCCAGACUUCGGUUUGGUGAAAGUGGCAAACGGGUGAGUAACGCGUGGGAACCUGCCCAGAGGUAGGGAAUAACUGCGGGAAACUGCGGCUAAUACCCUAUGUGUCCUGAGGGACAAAGAUUUAUCGCCUUUGGAGGGGCCCGCGUCGGAUUAGGUAGUUGGUGGGGUAACGGCCUACCAAGCCUUCGAUCCGUAGCUGGUCUGAGAGGAUGAUCAGCCACACUGGGACUGAGAUACGGCCCAGACUCCUACGGGAGGCAGCAGUGGGGAAUAUUGGACAAUGGGGGCAACCCUGAUCCAGCAAUGCCGCGUGAGUGAUGAAGGCCUUCGGGUUGUAAAGCUCUUUCGGCGGGGAAGAUGAUGACGGUACCCGCAGAAGAAGCCCCGGCUAACUUCGUGCCAGCAGCCGCGGUAAUACGAAGGGGGCUAGCGUUGUUCGGAAUUACUGGGCGUAAAGGGCGCGUAGGCUGUGCUGUAAGUCAGGCGUGAAAUCCCCGGGCUCAACCUGGGAAUUGCGUUUGAUACUGCGGCGCUGGAAUGCAGGAGAGGAUGGCGGAAUUCUCAGUGUAGAGGUGAAAUUCGUAGAUAUUGGGAAGAACACCGGUGGCGAAGGCGGCCAUCUGGCCUGUAAUUGACGCUGAGGCGCGAAAGCGUGGGGAGCAAACAGGAUUAGAUACCCUAGUAGUCC